Molecule: long non-coding RNA, 423 nt
Organism: Mobula hypostoma (lesser devil ray)
Lineage: Eukaryota; Metazoa; Chordata; Chondrichthyes; Myliobatiformes; Myliobatidae
Exons: 3
Source: RefSeq, a predicted model, not a curated record
AGUAGAUUAAGAGCUGGGGAAGAGCUCGUAAUGAAGUGAUUUGAAAACAAAAACCAGCAGUACAGAAGAUAAUGCUGAUGAUUGCCAACUUGGAGAAAUCAGCUCGCAGAUCAAGGACAGUCAAUAUAACAUAGAUAUACAGUUGCUUCACCAUGAAUUAAGCUGUCUGAUGGCCUAGUGGAAGAAGUUGUCCCGGAGCCUGUUGGUCCUGGCUAUUAUCCUGCAGUACCGUUUCCUGGAAGGUAGCAGCUGGAACAAUUUGUAGCAGCAUAUCACAACAAACAUUCUGGGUGCAUCACAAGGAUUUCAUGGUAGAUACAAAGGCACAGCAUAGAAUCAAUGAAAAACUACACACAGCAAGAUGGACAAACAACCCAUGUGCAAAAGACAACAAACUGUGCCAAUACAAAAAGAAGAAAAAGC